Long non-coding RNA from Gallus gallus (chicken), 315 nucleotides. RefSeq lists it as uncharacterized. The record is from RefSeq and is a predicted model, not a curated record. Lineage: Eukaryota; Metazoa; Chordata; Aves; Galliformes; Phasianidae. The transcript has 3 exons.
AACUGCAGUGCAAACAACAACACUGGCUACUACAUCAACUCUGUCAAUCAGUUAGUGCAGCAGUGGAGAAAGAGGCUGCAGGAGCUGAAGGCUUUAAAUGGCUCGGGAAAAGCAGCGAUGCAGAAUGGCGGUGGAGGAGGAGGAGGAAUGGGUGCUGCCACCCAGGAAACACAAACCUUAUCAGGCCAGCCAUGUUCCAACACACGGCAGGAGGAGGAGCAGGAGCAGGAGGAGGAGGAACAGGAGGAGGAAUGGGUGCUUCUAGCCAGACAAACACCAACCUUAUCCAGCCAGCCAUGUUCCAGCACACGGCAG